This 609-nucleotide long non-coding RNA is filed under the name Malus domestica (apple). Its description in RNAcentral is "long non-coding RNA (MDOM_LNC009109)". Lineage: Eukaryota; Viridiplantae; Streptophyta; Magnoliopsida; Rosales; Rosaceae. The record is from RNAcentral.
UACGUCGCCACGUAUUUUGGCGGCUGUGGCGGGAGAGUAGUCGGCUGCUGCUGCUGCUGCUGCGGUUGUGGCACUACAUUGUACAUCGGCGGCUGUUCCCGGUAAAUCUCAGACCCCAUUCGCUGCUGCACUUGGUAAUACCCUUGACCCGGUGGCCCGGUUACCGGUCGCACCAUCGGUGGCUGUGCGUGGUACACUGCCCCACCUCCGGGAGCGGAUGUAAACAUGUACAUCGGCUGUUCCGGAGCUCCCGUCCCCGGAAACCCCCCGCUUGUAACCUGCUUCUCCGGCCAGUAGCCAGCUGGCGGGGCAGCCGUCGCCGGAGGAGCCUUCUCCGGCAUCUUCUGUACGUAAUAAUCGCCGGCGCCGGUAUAGCCUCCCACGAGAUUGUCGUCGUUCUUUCUCCUGUACAUAGCUUGCUGAUCUUGUUCCCCGAUUUGUAGCCUCUGCAAUUGCCUCUGGAACUCCACCGAAGUCACCACUGGAUCCGAUCCGAUAACCCGGUCUAGGUGGCCCGAUCUGACAAACUCAGGAGGCGGCGCAACUUGUCCCGGUAUCGUAGGCGCUGGAGGAGGAGGAAGCGACACGACAGCAGGGACGCCACCCUUU